UACGAAGGGGGCUAGCGUUGCUCGGAAUCACUGGGCGUAAAGGGUGCGUAGGCGGGUCUUUAAGUCAGAGGUGAAAUCCUGGAGCUCAACUCCAGAACUGCCUUUGAUACUGAGGAUCUUUGAGUUCGGGAGAGGUGAGUGGAAAUUCCGAGUGUAGAGGUGAAAUUCGUAGAUAUUCGGAAGAAACACCAGUGGCGAAGGCGGCUCACUGGACAU
Molecule: ribosomal RNA, 216 nt
Filed under: uncultured bacterium
Lineage: Bacteria
Description: partial 16S ribosomal RNA
Rfam family: Bacterial small subunit ribosomal RNA
Source: RNAcentral